CGGAUUGAAGGCUGAAAUUCGCCUUCAUGAAGCUGGAAUUGCUAGUAAUGGCAGGUCAGCAUACUGCCGUGAAUACGUUCCCGGGCCUUGUACACACCGCCCGUCACACCAUGAGAGUUGGGAAUACCCGAAGCCUGUGAGCUAACUUAUAGAGGCAGCAGUCGAAGGUAGAAUCAAUGAUUGGGGUGAAGUCGUAACAAGGUAAC
This 206-nucleotide ribosomal RNA is filed under the name uncultured bacterium. Its description in RNAcentral is "partial 16S ribosomal RNA". It matches the Rfam family "Bacterial small subunit ribosomal RNA", at positions 1294 to 1500 of the family's 1533-position model. The record is from RNAcentral.